Long non-coding RNA from Chiroxiphia lanceolata (lance-tailed manakin), 1303 nucleotides. RefSeq lists it as uncharacterized. The record is from RefSeq and is a predicted model, not a curated record. The transcript has 2 exons. Lineage: Eukaryota; Metazoa; Chordata; Aves; Passeriformes; Pipridae.
UCAGAAGAGCUUCCGUAAGAAGACAAAUUAGGGGUUGGGUGAUAGAACCAACAUGUCUGUGAGACCUCAAAGUAUUAAUGGAAGGUAUUUCAAACUUGCUUUAGGGUAGAGCCCCCAGGGCAGUGUCUGUCCUGAGGGGUGAUGGGUGAUAUGGAUGGAGCUCAGGAUUUUUAAUCUCUGUUCUCUUAUGAUUUGAAGGCACGACAUCCAAAAUGAAGUAGCGUAUUUCAUGCCAGUUUUGGUGCUAACCUUGAGUUCUGUUUCUCACAGGGCAAAACUCUGCUGGGCUACAGAGGCUCAUCUGUGUAAGACAGUCUGGAAGCCCAGAGCUGCCACAAGCAACAGCUCUUGGGAACCUGUUUGGGAUUUAAAACUGGGGAGUUUACAGCCAGUUGUUCUGUCCUACAGCAUGGCCCAAAACCUGCUGCCUUUGGAUUCAGCUGCUUUCUCCUGUCCUUACCCCCCUUCCUCUUACAAUGAUGUAGUUGAGAAUAGAGCAGUUAUGAAAGAAAGUUCUGAGACAGCCUCAGCCAAAGUUUAGAGGAGAUGGGGAAGGCUAAACAGUCCUCCUAAAUCCAUCCCAUUGGACAUUGAAAAAUAGAUUUAAGGGAGAAAUCCUUCGUUCCCCAGGUGAGUGAUCCAGUUUGGGAUCCUUACACAAAUUUUGCAGGUCAGAGAAUGUGUUUCUCCGAAAGGCCAGGAUAUCUCCAAUUAAGGAACUGCAAAAAAAGCACUUGGUGCAUCCACUCUAGAGCUGGGACAGUUCACUGAAGGGUGAGUUUAAUGAUCAGUUUUCAAAUCAGCUGGAACUUGCUUUGAGGCGAGAAAAUGCUCUGCUUUUAAGCAAUUCUCAGUCUAUAAAUAUAAUUCCAACUUUUAAGUUGCUGUUUGAAGGAGACCAGAAUUGACAUCACGUCAGCAACCUCAGACCCAUCUUGUUUUGUCUCCCAGUGCUGCUGUUACCUGGCGAAGUGUCACGUGUUCAAUGUCUGGAACAACACUGUUCUAUAACUGUGAAUCUCCAGGUACAAACAAAAAUGCUUCAUCUUGAGGUUCUGCUUGAGAAGGAAGAACUCUUUAGCCAAAACUCAUUAGCCUAAUGAUGCUGCUGUAAUUUCCUACCCCAUUUGAAAGUUCUAACCUCACCUCUAGUGGAAUGUAUUGGCUGCUUUGUAAAGGGCUAAUGAUUACAAAAUACAAAUUUAUGCUAAAAGAAUUUGUAGAGGGCAAGGAGCAGAGGGAAUGACAGAGAAUGCCAGGGUGGAUAUUUUUUAAAAAAAGUAUGAAUAAAAGGCAAACAGUU